GAAACUGGUGCUAAAAUAGAAGUCCAUUGCAUUGCGUUUUGAAUGGAAUGCAAUUGUAAUGGAAGCGGCCAGACAACCGUAGGGUUGGAUCCACAGAUAAAGGGCUCAAAAUGCCCCUUGUCUACUGAUUCCAACCCACACCU
Amborella trichopoda is the source of this 143-nucleotide non-coding RNA. The record is from Rfam. NCBI's taxonomy places the organism in Eukaryota, Viridiplantae, Streptophyta, Magnoliopsida, Amborellales, Amborellaceae.